This 253-nucleotide ribosomal RNA is filed under the name uncultured Thermomonas sp. Its description in RNAcentral is "partial 16S ribosomal RNA". It matches the Rfam family "Bacterial small subunit ribosomal RNA", at positions 524 to 776 of the family's 1533-position model. The record is from RNAcentral. Lineage: Bacteria; Pseudomonadati; Pseudomonadota; Gammaproteobacteria; Lysobacterales; Lysobacteraceae.
UACGAAGGGUGCAAGCGUUACUCGGAAUUACUGGGCGUAAAGCGUGCGUAGGUGGUCUGCUAAGUCUGAUGUGAAAGCCCUGGGCUCAACCUGGGAAUGGCAUUGGAAACUGGCGGGCUAGAGUGCGGUAGAGGGUAGUGGAAUUCCCGGUGUAGCAGUGAAGUGCGUAGAGAUCGGGAGGAACAUUCGUGGCGAAGGCGGCUACCUGGGCCAGCACUGACACUGAGGCACGAAAGCGUGGGGAGCAAACAGG